UUCCGGUUGAUCCUGCCGGACCUGACUGCUAUCGGAUUGAUACUAAGCCAUGUGAGUCAUUGUAGCAAUACAAGGCAGACGGCUCAGUAACACGUAGCCAAUCUAACCUAUGGACGGGGAUAANCUCGGGAAACUGAGGAUAAACCCCGAUAGAUCAUUAUGCCUGGAACGGUUUAUGGUCCAAAUGAUUCGUCGCCGUAGGAUGAGACUGCGGCCUAUCAGCUUGUUGGUGAGGUAAUGGCCCACCAAGGCUAUUACAGGUACGGGCUCUGAGAGGAGAAGCCCGGAGAUGGGUGCUGAGACACGGACCCAGGCCCUAUGGGGCGCAGCAGGCGAGAAACCUUUGCAAUGUGCGCAAGCACGACAAGGUUAAUCCGAGUGAUUCCUGCUAAAGGAAUCUUUUGUUAGUCUUAAAAUCACUAUUGAAUAAGGGGUGGGCAAGUUCUGGUGUCAGCCGCCGCGGUAAAACCAGCACCUCAAGUGGUCAGGAGGAUUAUUGGGCCUAAAGCAUCCGUAGCCUGCUCUGUAAGUUUCCGGUUAAAUCCAUUAGCUCAACUAAUGGCCUGCCGGAAAUACUGCAGAGCUAGGAAGUGGGAGAGGUAGACGGUACUCGGUAGGAAGGGGUAAAAUCCUUUGAUCUAUUGAUGACCACCUGUGGCGAAGGCGGUCUACCAGAACACGUCCGACGGUGAGGGAUGAAAGCUGGGGGAGCAAACCGGAUUAGAUACCCGGGUAGUCCCAGCUGUAAACGAUGCAGACUCGGUGAUGCCCUGGCUUGUGGCCAGUGCAGUGCCGCAGGGAAGCCGUUAAGUUUGCCGCCUGGGAGGUACGUACGCAAGUAUGAAACUUAAAGGAAUUGGCGGGGGAGCACCACAAGGGGUGAAGCCUGCGGUUCAAUUGGAGUCAACGCCGGGA
Molecule: ribosomal RNA, 915 nt
Filed under: uncultured crenarchaeote
Lineage: Archaea; Thermoproteati; Thermoproteota
Description: bacterial SSU rRNA
Rfam family: Archaeal small subunit ribosomal RNA
Source: RNAcentral